This 256-nucleotide ribosomal RNA is filed under the name uncultured Stenotrophomonas sp. Its description in RNAcentral is "partial 16S ribosomal RNA". It matches the Rfam family "Bacterial small subunit ribosomal RNA", at positions 96 to 354 of the family's 1533-position model. The record is from RNAcentral. Lineage: Bacteria; Pseudomonadati; Pseudomonadota; Gammaproteobacteria; Lysobacterales; Lysobacteraceae.
UGGCGGACGGGUGAGGAAUACAUCGGAAUCUACUCUGUCGUGGGGGAUAACGUAGGGAAACUUACGCUAAUACCGCAUACGACCUACGGGUGAAAGCAGGGGAUCUUCGGACCUUGCGCGAUUGAAUGAGCCGAUGUCGGAUUAGCUAGUUGGCGGGGUAAAGGCCCACCAAGGCACGAUCCGUAGCUGGUCUGAGAGGAUGAUCAGCCACACUGGAACUGAGACACGGUCCAGACUCCUACGGGAGGCAGCAGGC